RNAcentral lists this ribosomal RNA (768 nucleotides) under uncultured bacterium. RNAcentral's name for it is "bacterial SSU rRNA". It matches the Rfam family "Bacterial small subunit ribosomal RNA", at positions 28 to 809 of the family's 1533-position model. The record is from RNAcentral.
GACGAACGCUGGCGGCGCGCCUAACACAUGCAAGUCGAACGAGCGAGAGAGAGCUUGCUUUCUCAAGCGAGUGGCGAACGGGUGAGUAACGCGUGAGGAACCUGCCUCAAAGAGGGGGACAACAGUUGGAAACGACUGCUAAUACCGCAUAAGCCCACGGCUCGGCAUCGAGCAGAGGGAAAAGGAGCAAUCCGCUUUGAGAUGGCCUCGCGUCCGAUUAGCUAGUUGGUGAGGUAACGGCCCACCAAGGCGACGAUCGGUAGCCGGACUGAGAGGUUGAACGGCCACAUUGGGACUGAGACACGGCCCAGACUCCUACGGGAGGCAGCAGUGGGGAAUAUUGCACAAUGGGGGAAACCCUGAUGCAGCGACGCCGCGUGGAGGAAGAAGGUCUUCGGAUUGUAAACUCCUGUUGUUGAGGAAGAUAAUGACGGUACUCAACAAGGAAGUGACGGCUAACUACGUGCCAGCAGCCGCGGUAAAACGUAGGUCACAAGCGUUGUCCGGAAUUACUGGGUGUAAAGGGAGCGCAGGCGGGAAGACAAGUUGGAAGUGAAAUCCAUGGGCUCAACCCAUGAACUGCUUUCAAAACUGUUUUUCUUGAGUAGUGCAGAGGUAGGCGGAAUUCCCGGUGUAGCGGUGGAAUGCGUAGAUAUCGGGAGGAACACCAGUGGCGAAGGCGGCCUACUGGGCACCAACUGACGCUGAGGCUCGAAAGUGUGGGUAGCAAACAGGAUUAGAUACCCUGGUAGUCCACACUGUAAACGA